AUUGAACGCUGGCGGCAUGCCUUACACAUGCAAGUCGAACGGCAGCAUGGAAGAGCUUGCUCUUCUGAUGGCGUGUGGCGAACGGGUGAGUAAAGCAUCGGAACGUACCGUGUAGUGGGGGAUAACGUAGCGAAAGUUACGCUAAUACCGCAUACGCACUGAGGUGGAAAGCAGGGGAUCGCAAGACCUUGCGCUAUACGAGCGGCCGAUGUCAGAUUAGCUAGUUGGUAGGGUAAAGGCCUACCAAGGCGACGAUCUGUAGCGGGUCUGGGAGGAUGAGCCGCCACACUGGGACUGAGGCACGGCCCAGACUCCUACGGGAGGCAGCAGUGGGGAAUUUUGGACAAUGGGGGAAACCCUGAUCCAGCCAUGCCGCGUGAGUGAAGAAGGCCUUCGGGUUGUAAAGCUCUUUCGGCUGGGAAGAAAUCGCACAGGCUAAUACUCUGUGUGGAUGACGGUACCAGCACAAGAAGCACCGGCUAACUACGUGCCAGCAGCCGCCGUAA
RNAcentral lists this ribosomal RNA (506 nucleotides) under uncultured bacterium. RNAcentral describes it as "partial 16S ribosomal RNA". It matches the Rfam family "Bacterial small subunit ribosomal RNA", at positions 30 to 523 of the family's 1533-position model. The record is from RNAcentral.